RNAcentral lists this ribosomal RNA (459 nucleotides) under Kwoniella dejecticola. RNAcentral describes it as "LSU rRNA". It matches the Rfam family "Eukaryotic large subunit ribosomal RNA", at positions 170 to 608 of the family's 3401-position model. Lineage: Eukaryota; Fungi; Basidiomycota; Tremellomycetes; Tremellales; Cryptococcaceae. The record is from RNAcentral.
CCGGACCGUGUAUAAGUCUCCUGGAACGGAGUAUCAAAGAGGGUGACAAUCCCGUGCUUUACACGACGACCGGUGCUAUGUGAUACGUCUUCUACGAGUCGAGUUGUUUGGGAAUGCAGCUCAAAACGGGUGGUAAACUCCAUCUAAAGCUAAAUAUUGGUGGGAGACCGAUAGCGAACAAGUACCGUGAGGGAAAGAUGAAAAGCACUUUGGAAAGAGAGUUAAACAGUAUGUGAAAUUGUUGAAAGGGAAACGAUUGAAGUCAGUCGUGUCCAUUGGGUUCAGCCGGUCCUGCCGGUCUACUCCCUUUGGACGGGUCAACAUCAGUUCUGAUCGGCGGAUAAUGGCACGGGGAACGUGGCACCCUCCGGGGUGUGUUAUAGCCUCGCGUCGCAUACGCUGGUCGGGACUGAGGAACGCAGCUCGCCCUCACGGGCCGGGGUCGCCCACGUCCGAGCU